RNAcentral lists this unclassified non-coding RNA (299 nucleotides) under Hevea brasiliensis (rubber tree). The record is from RNAcentral. Lineage: Eukaryota; Viridiplantae; Streptophyta; Magnoliopsida; Malpighiales; Euphorbiaceae.
GCCAGUCCAUCUAUCACCAAUAACUCGUUUCUUCUCCUCAUCUUUAUCAAAUAGAAGCUCCCUUGGAGGAGGGCAAAAGAAACUGGCAUCAGCACGCAUGGGCCAACCUAAUCGAAAACAAUCAACCGACCAAAAGUACUCAUUUAAAUCAUCAUAGUUUCUCCAUUGAGAAUGUUUUGACCUUCCUCCUUUACUCUUUUUGGCUUCCUCUGCUAUUGUAUCAUAUAUUGGUUUUACCACUUUCCUCAAAAAAGCCUCAUCUUCACCUCCAUAGGCUGGUUUUAUGUGCUCACCCGUCA